AAUUUAAUUUAUUUAAUAAAUAUAUUUGGAUAGGGUGAUCUGUUUAUAAUAUAUAUUUGUUUAUAUAAAAUUUAAAAUUAUUUAAACUAAAUUAUUUAUAGAUCAGAUGGAUGGAUCAGAUUAUACAUUAUCAUUCUUAUUUAUCGUCUGGGAUUUGCCCAUCAGCGGCUCUAAGGUUGAUAAUUUCUCGUAUGCGGGAUUAUAUGCAGACGUUGGGAUGGAAGAAAUGAUGACACUGCAAAACCGGGAAUAUUGGGUCAGCACUGAGUAUGGAUGUGUGUGCAGAGAUGCGGUGCGGUCCUCUCACGCGAUUAUUUAAACUUCUGUGCUCAAUGACAUAUUUACCCUGAGUGGGAUGUCCAUACGUUGGAGUUGAGUGAAUGGUGUAGGGGUAUUUUGGAAAAUGACGAACUUGGGAGCAUGGGCGGGUUCUGUUCACCGUACAUGAUGGUUACCUCACUACUUUUCUCGGUCUUUGGUUGCAGAGAGUGGCAUAUUCGAUCACCGGACACAUCGGAAUGAUAACUUUAACUGAUCCAUCGGAUAUCCCUG
RNAcentral lists this long non-coding RNA (552 nucleotides) under Elaeis guineensis (African oil palm). RNAcentral describes it as "long non-coding RNA (EGUI_LNC036123)". The record is from RNAcentral. Lineage: Eukaryota; Viridiplantae; Streptophyta; Magnoliopsida; Arecales; Arecaceae.